Molecule: non-coding RNA, 29 nt
Filed under: Rattus norvegicus (Norway rat)
Lineage: Eukaryota; Metazoa; Chordata; Mammalia; Rodentia; Muridae
Source: RNAcentral
UAAAAAUAAUGGAAACGAUGUAGGGAAAC